This 487-nucleotide ribosomal RNA is filed under the name uncultured bacterium. RNAcentral's name for it is "partial 16S ribosomal RNA". It matches the Rfam family "Bacterial small subunit ribosomal RNA", at positions 899 to 1397 of the family's 1533-position model. The record is from RNAcentral.
ACUCAAAUGAAUUGACGGGGGACCGCACAAGCAGCGGAGCGUGUGGUUUAAUUCGAGGCUACACGAAGAACCUUACCUAGGUUUGACAUCUUACUGAAGACUUCGUGAAAGCGAGGUUGUCCCGCAAGGGACAGUAGGACAGGUGCUGCAUGGCUGUCGUCAGCUCGUGCCGUGAGGUGUUCGGUUAAGUCCGCAAACGAGCGCAACCCUCGGUGCCAGUUACAAGUGUCUGGCGCGACUGCCCGUGGCAAACGGGAGGAAGGUGGGGAUGACGUCAAGUCAGCAUGGCCUUUAUAUCUAGGGCUACACACACGCUACAAUGGCGCGUACAAUGGGUCGCGAACCCGCGAGGGGGAGCCAAUCCUAAAAAGCGCGUCUCAGUUCAGAUUGUAGGCUGCAACCCGCCUGCAUGAAGUUGGAGUUGCUAGUAACCGCGCGUCAGCAGAGUGCGGUGAAUACGUUCCCGGUCCUUGUACACACCGCCCGU